GUGAAACAAUUACUCUCCUCUUCACAUAUAUGAUAGCAUCUUGGUCCCAAGGUCCGAGUACACAAUAUUUGAUAGAGUCCUAACCUCAACAGGAAAGUGAUUUAGGGGUGAUUACUUCUGAUGACUUAAAGGUAGGCAGACAAUGUAAUAGAGCAGCAGGAAAUGCUAGCAGAAUGCUUGGUUGUAUAGGGAGAGGUAUUAGCAGUAGAAAGAGGGAAGUGCUCAUGCC
This is a non-coding RNA of Pelobates cultripes (western spadefoot toad), 229 nucleotides long. The record is from the annotation of a GenBank genome assembly. Lineage: Eukaryota; Metazoa; Chordata; Amphibia; Anura; Pelobatidae.